AGGUUAGAACAGUUUCAAGGGAGCAAGUUCAUGCAUUAAGGGAAGCUGUCCAUGAUGGAUAUGAAGCAAAUGCAAGGCCAACUCAAAAAUUGGAUGGAAGACCAGUGUGGAUGUAUACUCCAAGAGGAGGCCAUGGAGGUUCUACUUAAGUUUGACUGUGAUAGAGAGGACAUUUUUCCACAUGUCUAUAAAUUUAUAUAUCAUAAAUAAAUUAUGUGCCAUUUGAUAGAUGGAACGUAUAUAAUUAUAUAUAUAAAUAAUAUACAUUCACACACCCACACAGAAAUAUACAGGCAUUACUUGCUUAUCUUUGUAAUUUAAUCAUUAUGCCUAAUGUUCAAUUGGCUAUUUUAAUCA
Molecule: long non-coding RNA, 357 nt
Organism: Humulus lupulus (European hop)
Lineage: Eukaryota; Viridiplantae; Streptophyta; Magnoliopsida; Rosales; Cannabaceae
Exons: 2
Source: RefSeq, a predicted model, not a curated record